Molecule: ribosomal RNA, 465 nt
Filed under: uncultured bacterium
Lineage: Bacteria
Description: partial 16S ribosomal RNA
Rfam family: Bacterial small subunit ribosomal RNA
Source: RNAcentral
GACGAACGCUGGCGGCGUGCUUAACACAUGCAAGUCGAACGGAAAGGCCCUGCUUGCAGGGUACUCGAGUGGCGAACGGGUGAGUAACACGUGGGUGAUCUGCCCUGCACUUCGGGAUAAGCCUGGGAAACUGGGUCUAAUACCGGCUAGGAGCCAUUUUUAGUGUGAUGGUUGGAAAGUUUUUUCGGUGUAGGAUGAGCUCGCGGCCUAUCAGCUUGUUGGUGGGGUAAUGGCCUACCAAGGCGGCGACGGGUAGCCGGCCUGAGAGGGUGGACGGCCACACUGGGACUGAGAUGCGGCCGCGACUCGUACGGGAGGGAGAAGUGGGGAAGAUUGCACAAGGGGCGCAAGGCUGAUGCAGCGAGGCCGCGUGGGGGAUGACGGUCUUCGGGUUGUAAACUACUUUCGCUAGGGACGAAGCAUGUUGUGACGGUACCUAGAGAAGAAGCACCGGCUAACUACGUG